CCUCGUGCCACCAUCUCUGCUUUGUCAGGUACACAAUCUGCUCAGGCUUCGGAAUUUCUCGGCACCUACCUGUAGUGUGGGACACUUGGUUUGGUUGCAGAGUCUGAAGGUGGAAGAAUGAGCUGUAUUUGGUUAAGCAGUUCUAACCCUUUUUGAGCAGGAUUUAUAAAAGCAUAAGUGAAUGUGUUUCACCCCCGUGGAUUCCAGUGGGCCCGACAGCGCAACAGUGCCUUGGCAACUUGAUGCAUAUGGAACCAACACCAAGUGAUUUGACAUAAGAAAUACUCACGAUGUGAUGUUCAAUCUCAAACAAAGUUGGAAAUUCCAAAGAGAAGUUGUGUUAUUGCUAGUCAGAGUGAAGAUGGGAGAAAAUGACAUACCUGC
Molecule: long non-coding RNA, 384 nt
Organism: Heterocephalus glaber (naked mole-rat)
Lineage: Eukaryota; Metazoa; Chordata; Mammalia; Rodentia; Bathyergidae
Source: Ensembl